Molecule: long non-coding RNA, 446 nt
Organism: Poecile atricapillus (Black-capped chickadee)
Lineage: Eukaryota; Metazoa; Chordata; Aves; Passeriformes; Paridae
Exons: 5
Source: RefSeq, a predicted model, not a curated record
CGCUCUUUAAUAAUUCCUUUAUUAAUUUCCAACAGCGGGACCCCCGAUGGAUCCAUGGGACAGGUGAGGGCUCCCUGGGACAGGUGAGGGCUCUGGGACAGGUGAGGGUCACACCCUGGGACAGGUGAGGGCUCCAUGGGACAGGUGAGGGUCCCUGGGACAGGUGAGGGUCCCUGGGACAGGUGAGGGUCCCUGGACAGGUGAGGGCUCUGUAGGACAGGUGAGGGGUCCCUGGGACAGGUGAGGGGUCCCUGGACAGGUGAGGGUCCCGCCCUGGACAGGUGAGGGGGUCCCUGGACAGGUGAGGGCUCCAUGGGACAGGUGAGGGCUCUGUGAGACAGGUGAGGGCUCCCUGGGACAGGUGAGGGGUCCCUGGACAGGUGAGGGGUCCCUGGACAGGUGAGGGCUCUGUAGGACAGGUGAGGGCUCUGUGGGACAGGUGAGGG